AUUCAAUCUUGAGGAAUCAGAACAACAAUCAAUGACUGAAUACAAGUGAUUUUUUAUAACAAUUUUUAUCACUCAUUUUUGUGCUUUUAUUUACUUAUAAACACAUCAGCCACCAUUCAAUAUCAAGGGGACAUGCAGAAGAAUUUUAUAAAAGUACAGAUUGUGUGUUGAUAAUACAUAUUCACACACAUAACUGUAAAAGUUACCUUCUCAUAGUAUAAAAUGUUAAUCUGAUCUAAAUGCAUGAAGCUUUCCUCUCUUGCCGCUUAAAGAUUUGCUUUUAAGAAAGUACUUUUCAUUUCCCCUUGCACACACUGACCCCUUGGAUUACUAGGCCACAGCAAUAAGUAGGAAAUUCAUAGGAGCAUCUUCACAGGAAGUGUCAUAUAUGUGCAGUAAAUUUUUUGACAAUAUCUUAAUCUCAAAAUUAUUUGUCAUCAGAAGACAUAUCUUGGGUUAUUGUCAAGUAUUUGACCAGUGCACUUUAUGAUACUUCCAAUCUCAUUUUUUUUCAUGAGCAGAAGAUAGCAAAGAUUUCUAUUAAUUCAAUGCUAUGAAGAUAGCUUCCAAUUUCCUACAGCAUCAGUCCAGUUCUAGAAAAAAACUGUAUAUAAUUAAUAUGAGUCCUUAUUAAGUUAGAAUUUGCUGGGGUAUUAGCCACUGGAUAAACGUAAAAGAUAAGUUCUUCAGAAAGCUACAUCAAUUAUACAGACCUCUAAAAAGCCCUUGAGAGAUUAUCAUGCAGUUCAAUAAAUGCCACUCUGUAAUACAUUUAGCACUUGACAUUUCUCUUUUAAAGUCUAAAACAUUUUGGGGAAAUGAAUCAAACACAAAAAUCAUUUGAACAAAGACAUCAAUCUAUUUCAUAUAUUUAUAGACUCUCCCCUCCUUUUUAUUUCUGGGGUAUUCAUAAUGAGUAAACAUUUUAGAGAUGAUUGACAGUAAUAGAAUGGGAAGAUGAAAAAAAAAAGACAUAGUAUUAGAUGAGUCUGUAAAAAAAUCUGAGGAAUAUCUUGAUUGAUAACUCAGAUAAUCUCCAAUGACAUACUAUAUAAGGCAAUAAUCACUUUCACAAAUGUGUCUCUGUUUUUAGUGUUGAAUAUGACAUUACCUGCAUAUAUAUAUAUAUAUGCAGAAUAUAUAUAUAUUCUGCUGCUUUCCUACCUCAGUAAGUGCUCAUGUUCUACCUCCAGCAUGCCUCUCUGCCUCAUUCCUCAAGAUACAUUAAUUAGGGGUCACCCUGAGUUCUCAAUUGCACAUACUGUGGGCAGCUUUUCAUUUGCCUUCCUGAACUUACUUUACCUGGAAAACAUCAUCACCUUCAUUAAGUCAGCUGGAUAAACUUUUAACUUUUCUAAAAAUACUCAACUACCUCCUGGUCCUGGCUAUGCCUGAUAAAUUAGUGAGUCCCCUACCCACUAAUAGCUAAGUGCUUUCUAUAACUGUAUUACACAUAUCCCGUUGUCUUAGAUUUUUUGUUACAUAUUUGUUUUUCUUACUGACUAUGUAAGUAAUUAUGUUUUAUUCAAUUUGUAUCUGCACUGCCCUGUUUAUUGUCUGCGUAAAUGCUACUGAGCUAAAAUAAAGUGUGUCAGAAGGAAAUAUCUAGUUCUUUAAUGGAUAGAAACUAAUCCUUAAAUUCCCUAGAAAUACAUAUCAGCUCUCCUGAAGCUGGUCUUUCUGCCUACGUGUCCCCUAUUCCUUCCACCCCAAUAGGGCUUCAGGGAAGAGAAAGAAAUCCAGAUGACUGAGGGUUUUGCUCCCUUCUCUUUUUCUCUUGGUCAUGGGACAUAUUGAUAAUUUUCUCAUUGGGAUGUGUGAUCUCUCAUAGAGCUUUAUCACCUGAGUGUCUGACUGAAGUACUGAUUGAUCCUGCCCAUCAGAUCACUUGUAAAAGUUACACAAUGACUCAUUUAGGAACUCACCUAGUACAUCACAGGGCCAUACCUGACUUGCAGAUGAUGUUGUAAAGGUCAGUUGGCAUUUCAUCUGGAUUCCAGCAAAGAAUGACCCACAGUCUUCUGGUUUCCUUAGAAAAAUGUGGUGCUGAUCUUCAUCAUAUGGCAUUCCAAAUUUAUGCAGCCAGUGCCUGUUUCUCAUAAGAAAGAUUGUCUUGACCAAAUGCCCCAUUGCCAUGCAGCCCAGACCUCACGUGCAGAAACUAUUUUUAACCAUACAGGCUAGUUGUGUUUUGUCAACAGGAUGCCACAAAGACCCCAGAUAAAACCAGUCUGAGCAGCCUAGAUCCAAAAUGGUGGGCAGAGUGGACUAAAGGUCACAGACUUCCUUGUCAAGUUUCUUUCUUUGUUUCCAUACUAACCCCUGAAAGCUGAAGGGUACUUGCCCUGAUUUAGCUCUGUGUUUGUUUCAAAAGUACCUGAUGUUUGGCAGAGAUGCUUUACGGCUGUUCUUUGAGAGAUAUGCAGUGGUCAACCACCCCAGGCCAGCUCCAACUUGACCACAGGAUAUCAACUCAGCUGUACAGAUGAGCCCUAGAAUUGUUUUUGCUUCUUUACCAUGUUAAGAUCUCCACACAAAGAGGGGAUUUGUAGUCUGUCAGGCACAAUUAGUGCCGUAUACAAGGGAGCCUAAAAGACUAUACCAGUGCUGUUCUUGGAACUCUCCACCCUUUUUCCCCAGUUUCUGGUGAUGCACCUGCCUCUUACCCCUUAAAAGCUCCCCACUUUCUGCCCUUAGGGAGAAGAUGCUUUUAGAGCGUGAGCCCCCCUUCUCCAUUCUCUGGCCAUUGAGAAAAAUCCUGUCUUGAUGCAUCAGUUUCAUUACUGGCAGUGCAAACUGGAGCAGGAAAGGGCUCCAUGACCAAUCAGGGGCUUCAGUUCAGCCAGGGCACCAAGGGGGUGGGGUGGGGGUGCAAGCCUAAUUCUGUAACACUUCUACAAACCUGAAAACAGCUUUGGAAGUGAUAUUGAAAUUUUAUUUCCUUUGUUUUCAUUUAUCUUUGCUUUUUUGUUAGAGUAUGGAUUGCUUGCUUUAUCAAUUAGAUAAUUUCUUGUUUUACAGUGUGUCCUAAUCCCAUUAAAUCUCAGAAACAACCAUUAUGCUGAGUUAUGACCUUAGUUAUUAUUCAUUAUAUACAUGCAGAGUAAUUCAUCUGUAUUAGACCAAAACACGGAUAUAACAAGUGACUGGAUGUAAGUCAUGUAAUUUGGUGUUGUGAUUAAUUUCAGUAUUAUUUCUGUAGUCAAUAUAAUCAUAAGGCCACAUAACCCCUUCUCAUAGUUGCACCAUUCCUUCCAUCUUACACCUUUCACUAAAACUGUUGUUCUUUAUUGAAUUAUAGCUGAUUUACAAUGUUUCAGGUGUACCACAAAGCAAUUGAGAUGUAUACAUUUUUUCAGAAUUCUUUUUCAUUAUACAUGAUUACAAGAUAUUGAAUAUAGUUCCCUGUGCUCUAUAAUAGGUCUUGUUUUUUGGCUAUUUUAUAUAUGGCAAUAUGUAUAUGCUAAUCACAAACUCUUAAUUUAUCCCUCCCCUCACUGCUUUUCCCUUUGGUAACCAUAAGUAUGUUUUCUAUGUUGGCGAGUCUGUUUCUUUUUUGUAAAUAAGUUCAUUUGGAUCAUUUUUUAGAUUCUACAUAUAAGUGAUAUCAUGAUGUUUGUCUUUCACUGUCUGACUUCACUUAGUAUAAUAAUCUCUAGGUCCAUCCAUGUUGUUGUAAAUGGCAUUAUUUCAUUCAUUUUUUUAUGGCUGAGGAAUAUUCCAUUGUGUAUGUGUACCAUACAUUUACUGAUGGACAUUCAGGUUGCUUCUAUAUCUUGGCUAUUGUGAAUAGUGCUGCAAUGAUCAUUGGACUACAUAUAUCUUUUUGAAUUAUAGUUUUCUUCAGAUACAUGCCCAGGAGUGGGAUAGUUGAAUCAAAUGCUAACUCUACUUUUAGUAUUUCAAGAAGCCUGCAUGCUGUUCUCCGUAGCGGCUGCACCAAUUUACAUUCCCACCAAUAGAGUAGGAGGGUUCUCUUUUCUCCACACUCUCUCCAGCAGUUAUGAUUUGUAGACAUUUUGAUAAUGGCCACUCUGUCUGGUGUGAGGUGGUACCUCAUUGUAGUUUUGACUUGCAUUUCUCUAAUAACUGAUGUUGUCUUAACAAAUUUGCUGAGAGCAAACUGUGAAUGUUGAAGAUGGUGAUUAAUGAUAAGGAAGCAAAAGAAGACCAGGAGGAUGCCUUUUACCAAGUAAAGGCCCGUAUGGCUUCCACCUACUCUCACAGCAACUCAAGAGGUGGCUUCAAUUCUUCUCACAUCCCAGUUCAGGUACAUCAUUUCAGAAAGUCUGUGAAGUACUUUUUUUCUUCUAGGUGAUUUAAAUAAUCUAUAUGUAUUCCAGACCACAUAGUAGCUAGAUGCAGAAUUUGAAUCAAAGUGGGUACAAGUUUUUUUUCUCCAAACUCCAUGUUUCUUGUUACUUCAGAGUUAAAUAAUAAAUUACUGAUGCCAUUUCAAAUGCACUUACUUGCAGCUUUCAUGAUACUUCACCACUAUUUCAGCAUGUCUUAAAAAUGGAGAUGUUCUCCUACAUAACAAAAUUAUAUGCAACGCUAUAGGAAAUUUAACACUAUUAUAAUACAAAUAUCUAACACAUAGUUCAAAUUAAAAUUUCUCUAAUUUCUCAAAUAUUUGUUAUAGCUUUAUCUUCCAAAAUCUAGGAUCCAACAAGAAGCACACUUUGCCUCAAGUUGUUACAUUUCUUUAGUUUCCAUUAAUUCAUUACAGGUCUUUAGUUAUGUUUGAUUUUCACAACACUGCCAUUUGUUAAGAGUGUAGUCCAAUAGCUCCAUUAUAGAAUCCUUAAUUUAAGCAUUCUUAUUUCCUCUGAUGUUUAAUAAAAAAUCAAUUAGCAACAAAAGAGUAAAGGUGAAUCUCAGAGGCUCCCUUUUCCAUUCAAGAAAAUGAAAAAAAUAAAAGUCUGUGUAUGGUGGGAGGUGCAGGAGAGCAGUGAAACACAUUCAAUCUCAUACAACAAGCUUCACAAACAACAGCCAAGGAAGUAUAAAUCCAGGGAAUAGAGUAAGAUCUGGGCUUACUUUACAUCAACUCUUAAAAAGAAAGAAAAGUCAUAACAUCUUGUGAAUUUUUAAUAGUAUCUUCAAAGAAUACAUAUAUAUUAUUUAAAUCACCUAGAAAAAAAAAAGUAUUUCUAAAAACAGCUGAGUUAGCUUCUCUUUUAGAUGUUUGAACACUAGCAGAAGAAAUAAAAUGAAAUCAAUUAGACAACUGGAAGAAAAGGUAAAGUAAGAGAUUGUUGUUCCUUAUCUUUACAUAAUUUUAUUUUUCUAAAUUAGGUGCAUGUAUUACUUUAGAAGAAAGAAAAAAGUGAAAAUUAGAAAAUUUUUCUUCUCUGGACCAUUUUAAAGGACACAAAGGGGUUCUAAUUUAUAACUGAUAUCUACAGUUUUUAUAAAUUCUUUUUUUUUUUUUUUUUUUGCUUUUUAGGGCCACAACUGUGGCACAUGGAAGUUCCAGACUGGGGUGGAAUCAGAGAUAAAGCUGCCAGCCUACACCACAGCCACAGCAAUGCCAUAUCCCC
RNAcentral lists this long non-coding RNA (5543 nucleotides) under Sus scrofa (pig). Its description in RNAcentral is "lncRNA (ENSSSCG00000060672.1)". The record is from RNAcentral. Lineage: Eukaryota; Metazoa; Chordata; Mammalia; Artiodactyla; Suidae.